CUUCUUCUUCUCCUUCUUUAUUUUCUUCUUUUUCUCUAUGAAACAACUCACGUCGGGGUACCACAAAGCCAUUGCCAGAGUUCCCUUUUGCCAUCACGCGCCGGAGCUAGACCACCAGUGGCCGGCGACAACCCCAUCUCCAAAAUCUCAGGGCCAUCGUAGUUAAGACGCAUACGAACGGAGCAGUCAAAGUUUCGUCGUCAAAACUUUGACCGCACUUUUCCGGCGAACCCAGACAUCCGUUCGGUGAGUGGGUGGCACCGUUGGAACCAGCGUGAAGGGAGGAACGUCGCCCACUAAGUCAUUUCAGUCAACUCACCAUUUUUCUCCGGCGAAAUUUUGGGUAUCUCCGCCCCUUUGGAAGCAUUUUCCGGCGACACCGGAGGUCAUUUGGGUGAAGGAGUUGUACUUUCGUGAUGUACUCAUCGAGAUGAUUGUUUUGAUAUAUGUCAUGCAUAUAUUCAUUGACGUUUCCAGUACUGCCACCGACCGCUAUUGUGCACCGCUUGGGAAAAACGUGAUAUUAAAAUCGAACUAAAUCAUUCUAAGAUCAUCAACAAGCUUAGGAGCGUUGCUUUGGGCUCGGAUUAAAUUCUAAAGAGGUAGGGACUCAACUUGGCCAUUGGACUUAUUUUACUUGUAUUGAAUUGCAUUAAACAUAUUCCAAUUUUGAUAUUUAUAAAAUGUUUGAAAAAUUGAAAACUUAAUCUGCAUGUUUUCUGAUCUGUUCUGAGGGCACUGGGUGCCAAAUAUAUUUUUGUUCACUUAUUUAUGCAGAUUAUGAUUUUUGGAUUUUAUUUAAAUGCAACUGUUAUGCUACCCAAUUUUCUAAAAUAUAAAGGGAAUAUGUUUCUGUCUUUUCAUGUUUACCUACACUUAGUUAUACCGAUGAGAGCCAUAGUGAUCAUGAUUGGUGCACGUUGUUGUUUCAUGACCUAGUCUAUGUGUCAUCAUAGGUAGAUCAGGUGUCCACUCACCUGUAGGUGUAAAGACGUAGCAUCUGUAUACAUGAAGUGUUCUGAGCCUCCCCCUUGUGGUGGUUAUCAAGUCCGGCUACCCAGUUUAGGAUGUUGGCUUUCUAUGGUGGGUAACGGGAACUAGGGAUCUAAUGGACAGUGUGAUGUGCACUUGUAGCUAUGCUCUUAUGAUUAUUUGUGGUUUCUCUAUUUUGGUUUAUACAUGAUGAUGUAUGUUUUGUUUUCAAAGCUAAUCAUGCAGGGGUUGUAUUAAACUUUUGGGUCCUAUGUUAUUAGUUAUUUUCCUACUGGACUUUAUAAGCUCACCCCUAU
Long non-coding RNA from Humulus lupulus (European hop), 1289 nucleotides. RefSeq lists it as uncharacterized. The transcript is spliced from 2 exons. The record is from RefSeq and is a predicted model, not a curated record. NCBI's taxonomy places the organism in Eukaryota, Viridiplantae, Streptophyta, Magnoliopsida, Rosales, Cannabaceae.